GAUGAAGAACGUAGCGAAAUGCGAUAAGUAAUGUGAAUUGCAGAAUUCAGUGAAUCAUCGAAUCUUUGAACGCACCUUGCACCCUUUGGCAUUCUGAAGGGUAUGCUCGUUUGAGUGUCAUUGUACUCUCACACUCCCAAUUGCUUUGGAUUGGGAGCGGUGGACUUGGGUGUUGCUGCUUGACUGAGGCUCACCUGAAAUAUGUUAGUGCACCUCUUGAUUGGACAUAGUACGGCGUGAUAAGUGUCUUCGCCGGCUCCUCGCAAAGAGGGUGGCCGAUCGGGAGCUCUGUUGCUUCAAACUGUCUUCGGACAAUCUUCUGGCGACUUGACCUCAAAUCGAGUAGGACUACCCGCUGAACUUAAGCAUAUCAAUAAGCGGAGGA
Molecule: unclassified non-coding RNA, 385 nt
Filed under: soil metagenome
Description: partial contains 5.8S ribosomal RNA, internal transcribed spacer 2, and large subunit ribosomal RNA
Rfam family: 5.8S ribosomal RNA (bases 1-120)
Source: RNAcentral